GUUCCUAUCUUUCCCGAGCUCAUCCUCCCAAGGAAUAGAGCUGUCAUCCCGUUUGCAUGCCAUUCACAGUUCCGCAUCCAAAGCUCCCAACAACUCGAUCAAUUCCAUCAUUAUCCCGCAUCCUAAACCAUCAAAUCUUCUUUCAGCUUCCUCCCAGCUUUGCAUCCUUAUCCUAUGCUUCAGAACAGGGUACCAUCUUAUCACGGCUCAAGCCAGCAAAGUCCCAGCUCUUUCCGUCCGAGAUUCUCUCCACGUUAAAGCCUCGUUAGUCUCUUCCAGAUUCUUCCCAGUGGAGAAAGGUUCAUCCGCACUGCCAGCUGCUUCCCUCAGCAAAACAAGUUCAACGAAUUCUAGGAUCACGUCUUCAUCACCCACCGAACUCAGGAUUAUCCUCCCAGCGUUCCGGAUCAACUCCAUCCAACGCGUUCCAGCAUCCGAGGAUAAGCUUCCAAGGAUUAAGCCAAACGUGAUCAGCUCCCAACGUCCGGAUUGGAUCAUCUCAAGAGACUCACCCACGUCCACGGAACAGAGACCGUUCCUCUCCUUUAUCUUCUCACUCGGAAGAAUAUAUCUGAAGGUUGAUAACAGAGGCUGUGAAGGCUAUAAAAGGGAGUCGAUGAUGAAGGCUAGAGGCAUUCUCUUCCAUUCCUCCUCUUCCCCACCAGGGGAGGGGGCUGCUCCCUUUAUCCCUUCUUCCUCACCGAAGGGAGUCGG
This 714-nucleotide long non-coding RNA is filed under the name Phoenix dactylifera (date palm). RNAcentral's name for it is "long non-coding RNA (PDAC_LNC010973)". The record is from RNAcentral. Lineage: Eukaryota; Viridiplantae; Streptophyta; Magnoliopsida; Arecales; Arecaceae.